GACUAACGCUGGCGGCGUGCCUAACACAUGCAAGUCUAACGAGAAAGCGGUAGCAAUAUCGUGAGUAAAGUGGCGAACGGGUGAGUAACACGUAACUAAUCUGCCCUCCAGUGGAGGAAAACUCAGGGAAACUUGAGCUAAUCCUUCAUAACGUGAUGAGAUCGCAUGGUUUUGUCAUUAAAGAUUUAUCGCUGGAGGAGGAGGUUGCGUCUGAUUAGCCAGANGGCGGGGUAACGGCCCACCAUAGCUAUGAUCAGUAGCUGGUCUGAGAGGAUGAUCAGCCACACUGGG
Molecule: ribosomal RNA, 291 nt
Filed under: uncultured bacterium
Lineage: Bacteria
Description: partial 16S ribosomal RNA
Rfam family: Bacterial small subunit ribosomal RNA
Source: RNAcentral